This 231-nucleotide unclassified non-coding RNA is filed under the name plant metagenome. RNAcentral describes it as "partial contains small subunit ribosomal RNA, internal transcribed spacer 1, and 5.8S ribosomal RNA". The record is from RNAcentral.
UCUCCGUUGGUGAACCAGCGGAGGGAUCAUUACAGAGUUGCAAAACUCCCAAACCAUUGUGAACGUUACCUAUCCCGUUGCUUCGGCGGGCGGCCCGGGCCCCGCGCCCGGCACCCCCCGGCCCCCCGUGGGCGCCCGCCGGAGGUAAACCAAACCCUUGAAUUGCAUGGCCUCUCUGAGUCUUUUGUACUGAAUAAGUCAAAACUUUCAACAACGGAUCUCUUGGUUCUG